This 352-nucleotide unclassified non-coding RNA is filed under the name soil metagenome. RNAcentral's name for it is "partial contains 5.8S ribosomal RNA, internal transcribed spacer 2, and large subunit ribosomal RNA". The stretch from base 1 to 120 matches the Rfam family "5.8S ribosomal RNA", at positions 35 to 154 of the family's 154-position model. The record is from RNAcentral.
GAUGAAGAACGCAGCGAAAUGCGAUAAGUAAUGUGAAUUGCAGAAUUCAGUGAAUCAUCGAAUCUUUGAACGCAUCUUGCGCUCCUUGGUAUUCCGAGGAGCAUGCCUGUUCGAGCGUCAUUAUCACCCCUCAAGCCCUGGCUUGGUGUUGGACUUUAGUUAUAGCUUUGCCUAUCAACUGGUCUCAAAGAUAGUGACGGCGCCCCAGAGGGAACCGGGUACGAGGAGCUUUUUACUAAGCAUGUAUCUGGGACGACUCUGGGCGACGGUCUUGUUAUACUUUUUACCUAAGUGUUGACCUCGGAUCAGGUAGGAAUACCCGCUGAACUUAAGCAUAUCAAUAAGCGGAGGA